RNAcentral lists this long non-coding RNA (1601 nucleotides) under Chinchilla lanigera (long-tailed chinchilla). RNAcentral's name for it is "lncRNA (ENSCLAG00000026514.1)". The record is from RNAcentral. Lineage: Eukaryota; Metazoa; Chordata; Mammalia; Rodentia; Chinchillidae.
CAGCCUGGUGGGGAAGAUGCCCAAGCACAGUAACAGAGUGAUAUGUCCUUUGAUGGGGCAGAGAGGGUGCCCAGAAUGGCACUGACUUAGUCUUCACUGAAGGAAAUGGUACGUUUCCUUAUUGCCAUGCUUAGAUACAAAUAAUGGAUUUUGUUUUCCCACCCGCACCCUCUCCACUAUAUAAAUAAUGACUUCGCAAUUAGGAAUCUUAUAUUUCAGGAGGUAUCAUAGGUGGUCCACGGUUAUAUGGUCACUCAAAGAUGCCAUCAGAAAUUUUGCUCAUCCAUAACAUGAAGCUCCUGUCCUCAUGGUUACAAAAUGGCCCUUAAAAUUCCAGGAACCAACUCAACAUUCCAAGCAGGAGCAAGAGCAGGGACAGAUGGUAAAGUGCCAGAGGAAGCUGUAAGAUAUUUUCCAGAAUUUCAACAUUGUCUUUAUAUCUUUCUAGCUCAUGUCCUGAGUCUACUCUGGAUACAGAAGUGGAAGAAUCACCUUCAAACAUGCUAGGAAUGUGCCCUGGAUGUCAACACAUGACUGUGACACAGACCAAAGAGACCCCAACCCAGAUAAAUCUUCCUGCUUCUGGCCCCCUCCACCACCAUAGCCUCAUACUUACUGGAGGACAGAGGAGCUGGAUGAUUCUUCCACAGCCCCAGGACUCAGGUCCUGGCUCCAAACUCUCCACCCUCCCAGCCACAAAGGAGCCCAUAGCAUGGGCAUGACAUCCUCAUGUGGAUCAAUUAGGCAAAAAGGCAAGACAGAGCCUGCCCCAACCCUCCACAUGUAAUUAUCAUCUGUGUGUGAAUGUACGGAGUGAAAGGCGGGGGAAGACGUGAUGAAUGCUGGGCUGGAGGGAGGUGUAGGAAAGAUUUCUAUUAAAAAAACUGUCUCACCCAGCCUGAGGGGUGGUGGCACAGGAGAAACACCUGUGGGUAAUGGGAGAGUGGGGACAGAGCAGACAGAGGUGGUGCGGAUAACCCAUUUCAGGUUUCUUCUAAUGUUAGUGUGUGCCCGGCUGAAGUGAGUGCUCAGGUGUCUCCCAAGACAAUAUCAGGAGUUAGCCACCAUUUCAGGACUGCUCAGCAAGGAAACCACUUGGAGCCUGUGGCUGCAGUUAAAUUGGGGACCAGUUGUCCCUGAGAGCAGCACUCUCAUCUGAGAAAUGUGGGAAAUCAUCAGCCAUCUUAGCAAAAUGGGGCAGGGAGCAGUGGAUGGGAGGAGGCCAGAAGCCAAGGUGAGAAGGUGGCUACCAGCUUCCAGACCACAUAGAGAGAAAGGGAACUCCUGUUUAUCAGUCAUGGGUUGACUGAGAGCGGUGCUUAAGAAGACACUACUUGGCUUUGAGAACCAGGUGUUUUUUUUUUUUUUUUUUUUUUUUAUCUCUUCCCUCAAAAGAUCAAGGAAAUAGAAAUUCUUUAAGUAAGUCUUGUCCCCAGGUGCUGCUAUGCUAGAAUUCAUUCAGUAGGGAGAGAUGUGGAAACUUUAUCUCUUUCUCUUCUUCCAAGAUGAGUUUACAUAGGUAUUGAAUUUGACAAGUCACUAAAAAUUAUUUGAAUUCCUAAAAAACAAUAUAGACACCCCCAAAUGAAAAAUAGAACUUU